UGGGGAAUUUUGGACAAUGGGCGAAAGCCUGAUCCAGCAAUGCCGCGUGUGUGAAGAAGGCCUUCGGGUUGUAAAGCACUUUUGUCCGGAAAGAAAUCCUUGGCUCUAAUACAGUCGGGGGAUGACGGUACCGGAAGAAUAAGCACCGGCUAACUACGUGCCAGCAGCCGCGGUAAUACGUAGGGUGCAAGCGUUAAUCGGAAUUACUGGGCGUAAAGCGUGCGCAGGCGGUUUGCUAAGACCGAUGUGAAAUCCCCGGGCUCAACCUGGGAACUGCAUUGGUGACUGGCAGGCUAGAGUAUGGCAGAGGGGGGUAGAAUUCCACGUGUAGCAGUGAAAUGCGUAGAGAUGUGGAGGAAUACCGAUGGCGAAGGCAGCCCCCUGGGUCAAUACUGACGCUCAUGCACGAAAGCGUGGGGAGCAAACAGGAUUAGAUAUCCUGGUAGUCCACGCCCUAAAACGAUGUCAACUAGUUGUUGGGGAUUCAUUUCCUUAGUAACGUAGCUAACGCGUGAAGUUGACCGCCUGGGGAGUACGGCCGCAAGAUUAAAACUCAAAUGAAUUGACGGGGUC
Molecule: ribosomal RNA, 573 nt
Filed under: uncultured bacterium
Lineage: Bacteria
Description: partial 16S ribosomal RNA
Rfam family: Bacterial small subunit ribosomal RNA
Source: RNAcentral